Herpailurus yagouaroundi (jaguarundi) is the source of this 2892-nucleotide long non-coding RNA. RefSeq lists it as uncharacterized. The transcript is spliced from 10 exons. Lineage: Eukaryota; Metazoa; Chordata; Mammalia; Carnivora; Felidae. The record is from RefSeq and is a predicted model, not a curated record.
UGAUUACCGCAGCAGCUCAUUUACUCCGUUUCCUUGGCUGAGCGAGGCAUUUGAGUUUGAUUAACAAGAUUUUCUACUUGACGUUCAACUCUCAUUUUCCGAAGCGCUGAGGACGGGACUUCCGUCCCUCUCCAUCACCUCUGCCAACUUACGCCUCCGCCUCCGGGCCUUGGAGCCCCCUUGGCAAUGGCCAGUCCUGCGAUUGGUUCCCAGCGGUGAAGGAGCUACUGACUCCGACCUUGUCUGAAGGUUACUUCUCAAGUCCGUGCAUUUUCUCAGCGAUGUGCAUUCAAAUUAGGUGCUGGUGAUACAAGAGUGAAGCUGGCAGUAGAAGAUUCCUCCCGUCUCAGUCCUCGCCUUCAGAGGGAGGAAGAGAGACAACAAACAAGUGAACAAAAUAGGUGGCACCGGUGGUGCAGGAGAGUGAAAAGACGAUGCCCAAAGGAGGCAGAGGGCAUGAACUUGGGGAAUGCACCUGCGGCAGGAAGGGAAACAUUUCCUCCACUGGGGCCGAAGGAAAGGAGAAGAUGGAUGCCCGUGCUUCUGAUGUGGCACCUGGUAGGAUGAAUUAAGGACCAUGGCCGGCACCUGGUAGGAUGAAUUAAGGACCAUGGCCAGCACCUGGUAGGAGGAAUGAAGGACCAUGGCUGUUAUCUGAGAGAGGAGGGGAGAAGGGAACCUGGAACACCUCAGCAAAGAGGACAAGGGAUCUAGCAUUUUGAAGACACACAAUUUAGCAGACAUUCAAAUUCGCUGAACAGAUGAAUUCAGAGGGGAGGUGGAGAUCUCAGAUGGAAGAGAUGUUCGAGGAAGAAACUGCAUGGAGGCCUGAAACGCAUGGUCCCCUCUACAAACCUGAAGAGGAAGCCGUACAAGAGAUCCAAGAGUCAUGCUGGGACUGUGUAGUUCAUACUCCUAAAGGAGAUAACCCGAUUGGCCCAGCUCCUGCCUCCUCAAUAUGCUGACCACCCAAUGAGUUCACUGCUCUUGGUCAUAUGCACUACUUUUAGUCUGCUCAGCAAUGUAAGAUGUGGAGAUCUCAUGUUCAGAACGGACUGUGCAUUCAGCAGGAUGGUACAGAGAUUUUGGUAUUUCAGAAUUGCGGAUAAUGGAAUGCGGAUGUGAAUAUCUCUAAAGAAAGAAAGAAUCAUAGAGGGGAGAAGUGAGCCAUGGAAGUGUAGAAAAGGGAGAAGCGUGGAGAACAUGUGAGCAGUGACCAGUCAAGCAUUACCCAGAAAGAGGCAGGAUUUACUAUAUUCUGAUUCCAUUGUCAAGGCCAGCGUUGUAGAAAGAAAGAAAGAAGUGCUGAGCUCUCUCAACUGAGAUCACUAAACAGUUGGCUCAUUUGAACAGUAUUUUUCUACUCUUGUACUCCCCAAGCCACUGGACAAUUAUCAAUCUUGGCAUAUAUAAAAUAUCUGCAGAAGAGAAUAAUCUUUUCACAACUUUGGGUUCCUACUUCUGUAAUAGGGCAAAGAGGCAAGGGCAGAGAGCAGUCUACAUAACUUGGAAGGAUAGUGUCGUGUGGAGAGGGCAGACUUGAGAGACACUGUGCCCUUGGGUCAAUGGAACAGACAUCUCCAGAUGACCCCAGAGAGAGGAAGCAGAGGAAAAAAUAAAGGGAAGAGGGUAAGUUCCUCAGACAUCUAAUCCACAGGCUUCAUCUUAGAUCUCAUUGGCCAGACAUGGAGCAUUCAUCACCAUAAGCCCCUGGCAGGUUGGGGAUGUGAGUAUUUUCAUUUUCACUUUGAUUGUAGAGGGAAAGCAAGGGAUACUGGAAUGGCUUUGGAUGGUCAAUCUACAGUAACUGUCCUUCCUUUGUUUGGGUCUGAUGACAUAUUUUUCUAAGAUUAAAAAAAAAAGGAUAAAGCUAGAAAAGUAAAGAGUAUAUGUUUCUUCCCAUCUAGUAUAUAAAAACUAAGAAGUUUAGAAUAACUAAUAUGUAUGAAGACACCAGACAGACUUAUCAUGGGCCAUAUGAUAUGUCAAAUUGUAAGGCUGCUAAGAGAGAUAAGCUCAGAAAACUCACAGGACAAACAGCAAACCAGUAAAAGUCCUUCCGUUGAACCCCUUGAUCAUGUGGUAGUUGUGGAACAGUGUUGGGCAGGAGGCAGAACUAAUGGAAGGGGACAAAUGAAAUUCAGCUUGUAAAGUCAUUGUAAAAGUCUCUUUCUCUCUUCAAAAUCGGCUUCAUUGAAGACCUCACCCAAGAAGAAGGGAGGGGAAGAGAAUGAGCUCCGCCUGGCGUAAGCCAUUCGUCAUAUGAGCCGAGUGCUCUUGUAAAGGCCUCGUGUUUAUGAACUCACAUAAUUCUCAGAACAACUCUUAGGAGACAGACACUAUUUUUAUUCUCAUUUUGCAGACAAGGGACAGGUUUCCACAAGGAAAUUAAGAAGCUUGCUUGUGACCUCACAAAUGGCAAGAGCUGGGCCUUGCCGGCAGGUGUCCUGGCUCCAGAACCUGUGCUGACAACCACUUACCCUCUACUCCACUGAAUCUCCCACUAUUCUGUUCGGCAAACAAGAAAGUCCUACUUCACUUUACUCCUUGUCAAGAGGACCCUUCACGACUACAGAAUAAAACCUGGUACCUAGGACACCUUGAAGGCUAGUAAGAUAGCAAAAACACACUUCUUUCUGUGGUGGCAGGAAGAGGAUGCCCAGCCCUUUAUAAUGACAUGAGCUGGCGGGCUCUUGGCUGGACAUCAAGGAAGUAGACGUCCGUUCACUCCAGCAAUCACCGUGAACAUUUCCAUUUUUGGAGCCCCCUUUUCUCCUUUAUAGAACACAAUGAUAGGAUGCGAGGAUAUCUCAGGGUUUGUGGUUUUAAAAGUUGUGGGAUUUUGGGGCGCCUGGGUGGCGCAGUCGGUUAGGCAUCUGACUUCAGCCAGGU